RNAcentral lists this ribosomal RNA (467 nucleotides) under uncultured bacterium. RNAcentral describes it as "partial 16S ribosomal RNA". It matches the Rfam family "Bacterial small subunit ribosomal RNA", at positions 28 to 507 of the family's 1533-position model. The record is from RNAcentral.
GACGAACGCUGGCGGCGUGCUAACCCCUGCAAGUCGAACGGAAAGGCCCUGCUUUUGUGGGGUGCUCGAGUGGCGAACGGGUGAGUAACACGUGAGUAACCUGCCCUUGACUUUGGGAUAACUUCAGGAAACUGGGGCUAAUACCGGAUAGGAGCUCCUGCUGCAUGGUGGGGGUUGGAAAGUUUCGGCGGUUGGGGAUGGACUCGCGGCUUAUCAGCUUGUUGGUGGGGUAGUGGCUUACCAAGGCUUUGACGGGUAGCCGGCCUGAGAGGGUGACCGGCCACAUUGGGACUGAGAUACGGCCCAGACUCCUACGGGAGGCAGCAGUGGGGAAUAUUGCACAAUGGGCGGAAGCCUGAUGCAGCAACGCCGCGUGCGGGAUGACGGCCUUCGGGUUGUAAACCGCUUUCGCCUGUGACGAAGCGUGAGUGACGGUAAUGGGUAAAGAAGCACCGGCUAACUACGUG